RNAcentral lists this ribosomal RNA (497 nucleotides) under uncultured bacterium. RNAcentral describes it as "partial 16S ribosomal RNA". It matches the Rfam family "Bacterial small subunit ribosomal RNA", at positions 28 to 507 of the family's 1533-position model. The record is from RNAcentral.
GAUGAACGCUGGCGGCGUGCCUAAUACAUGCAAGUCGAGCGAACGGACGAGAAGCUUGCUCCUCUGAGGUUAGCGGCGGACGGGUGAGUAACACGUGGAUAACCUACCUAUAAGACUGGGAUAACUUCGGGAAACCGGAGCUAAUACCGGAUAAUAUUUUGAACCGCAUGGUUCAAUAGUGAAAGACGGUUUUGCUGUCACUUAUAGAUGGAUCCGCGCUGCAUUAGCUAGUUGGUAAGGUAACGGCUUACCAAGGCAACGAUGCAUAGCCGACCUGAGAGGGUGAUCGGCCACACUGGAACUGAGACACGGUCCAGACUCCUACGGGAGGCAGCAGUAGGGAAUCUUCCGCAAUGGGCGAAAGCCUGACGGAGCAACGCCGCGUGAGUGAUGAAGGUCUUCGGAUCGUAAAACUCUGUUAUUAGGGAAGAACAUAUGUGUAAGUAACUGUGCACGUCUUGACGGUACCUAAUCAGAAAGCCACGGCUAACUACGUG